RNAcentral lists this long non-coding RNA (1079 nucleotides) under Gallus gallus (chicken). RNAcentral's name for it is "lncRNA (ENSGALG00010010520.1)". The record is from RNAcentral. Lineage: Eukaryota; Metazoa; Chordata; Aves; Galliformes; Phasianidae.
UUGCUGGAGAACUCUGUCUACCUGAGGCCUUCUAAAGGUAAGCAGCUCUUCUUCAUUUCUGCAUCUGUGCUGCUGCAUUUGGGCUUGAUCUUAUUUGCUGUAGCUGAAGGUUUUGCCACCCUAUUAUUAUCAUCCCGUUAUAGCAUUAAACUGGUGAAACAUGCUGAAGGGUAAUCCUGAAUUCAAAGGGACCUCUGCACACGUUCUUUCCCCUGUAAACGAGCUCUAAACCCAAGUAUGGGUUCAGUGUGACCAUCUGGUCUGUUCGAGAGAGCCCAGCACCAUUUGCAUCUCAGCAUUGAGGCAAACAGGCCCCUGGAUCACACCAAGCACAGCUCAUUAGAGCACACACCAGUUGCAUGAGGUGACUUAUGGCACUUCUGUGGCAGAGGUGGUGAUAGGAAAAUGGCACUCUGGGCAGCAUUAAUCAGCCUUACCCAUGAGCUCACCCCGUCUGACUCACCUGCUUUGCACUUCCCAUUUUCCCCAGCAGGUGCAGGAGAUGUUUCCAGUCCUUUUCCUCCCGCAGCCUCAAUUGGCUCCUUGAGCAUUCUCCAUCUGAUCUGAGCAAAGGAGGUCCCAUGCAGAGCACUGGCUGUGAGCACACAUCACAGCCCUCAAUAACCUGUGUCCAUAAGCAAACCACAGGAAGGCUACAUGGGCAAUGUUAAUUCUCCCACUUGAUUUCCAAGUGCUUUCCUUUCCAACCCUCUAUUCUUCUACAUGUUUUAGUGUAAUAUCAUCUUUAGGUGCAGUUUCUCACAUUCACAUCCUGAGCAGUCACUGCCACAUAAACAGCCUGAAAACUGAAAUAAAUUGUGCUUAAUCAAAAAAUGAGAUCUGCCCUGCUAGGGAUAUGCGAGUCCGCUGCUUCAUCUAUUCUUUUUCUUGCCUGGAGGAUUUACUGCAUCUCCAGACUCCUGCUGCUGCUUCAAGAAGUGCCAUGAAGAAAGACAACAGCACGUAUCCAGGUGUAAUAUUCUGUACCGUGGGCAGAUGGUUACAAUUAUACUUCUAAAUAUCCUUUUGUCUUUACACUGACUCAAAAUUAAAUAUUAUUUUUUUAUAUGAUAAAAGUC